GUGCUCACUUUGGCAGCACAUAUACAAAUAUUAGAACAAUACAGAGAAGAUUAGCAUGGCCCCUGUGCAAGGAUGACAUGCAAAUUCAUGAAGUGUUCACAUUUUUU
This 107-nucleotide small nuclear RNA is filed under the name Microcebus murinus (gray mouse lemur). Lineage: Eukaryota; Metazoa; Chordata; Mammalia; Primates; Cheirogaleidae. The record is from RNAcentral.